RNAcentral lists this ribosomal RNA (253 nucleotides) under uncultured bacterium. RNAcentral describes it as "partial 16S ribosomal RNA". It matches the Rfam family "Bacterial small subunit ribosomal RNA", at positions 524 to 776 of the family's 1533-position model. The record is from RNAcentral.
UACGUAGGGUGCGAGCGUUGUCCGGAAUUAUUGGGCGUAAAGAGCUCGUAGGCGGUUUGUCGCGUCGACUGUGAAAACCCGAGGCUUAACCUCGGGCCUGCAGUCGAUACGGGCAGACUAGAGUUCGGUAGGGGAGACUGGAAUUCCUGGUGUAGCGGUGAAAUGCGCAGAUAUCUGGAGGAACACCGGUGGCGAAGGCGGCAUCCUGGACCAACACUGACGCUGAGGAGCGAAAGCGUGGGGAGCGAACAGG